ACACGGGGGGCGCAAGCGUUAUUCGGAAUUAUUGGGCGUAAAGGGCGUGUAGGCGGUUUUAUCGGUCAGAUGUGAAAGCCCAGGGCUCAACCCUGGACGUGCAUUUGAAACAGUAAGACUUGAGUACGAUAGAGGAAAGCGGAAUUCCUGGUGUAGAGGUGAAAUUCGUAGAUAUCAGGAGGAACACCGAUGGCGAAGGCAGCUUUCUGGACCGAAACUGACGCUGAUGCGCGAAGGCGUGGGUAGCGAACAGAAUUAGAAACCCCAGUAGUCC
RNAcentral lists this ribosomal RNA (274 nucleotides) under uncultured bacterium. RNAcentral describes it as "partial 16S ribosomal RNA". It matches the Rfam family "Bacterial small subunit ribosomal RNA", at positions 523 to 796 of the family's 1533-position model. The record is from RNAcentral.